AUGAACUCAAUCCGCUCGGAGUCGACUGCGGAGGCCAGGCGUCUCCGUCGGCAGCAGAUGGAGGCGGCGCGAGCUGCGGCGCACGUGGCUCAGGCUCCGGCCCCGGCGGCGCAGGCUCCUGCUCUGGCGACUCCAGCCCCAGCGCUGGCGCAGGCUGCUGGUCGAUCGGUCGAGCAGAUCUACGAGGCAAUUUGUAGACAUAUAGAUGGAAUCUCCAUGAGAACCUCGCCAACCUCUCCAGUCUCCACCGCUCCACGGAUCACGUCUUCAUCGUCGCGCCGUCUCAACGAGACCACGCCGCCCACCACCGCCAUGACGCCUGAGCGAUCACCGGUUCCACCCUCGCCCAAACGACGCCGUCACGAUCCUAGGUCAACCGCCGCGGCCGCAGCCAGCAGCACAGAGAUCCCAUCGACUGCCGGCGCCGUCCCGUUAUCAGACGAGAUCAUCUUCGACAUCCUCACCAGAGUGCCGGUGAGGUCGGCGUGCCGAUUCCGAUGCGUCUCCAGCGAGUGGUGCGCGCUCAUCUCCGGCCCGGACUUCGCCGCCGCGCACGGGUCCCGCGCUCACGCCGAGCCCCUCGUUUGGGUUUACUCCUUCCGAGGCAAGGGCACCGAACUGCGGCUGGUGGGCAUGAACGGCGGUGUUGUGCGUGUGAUCAGGGACGGAGGUGGAACCAGGAAGCUCAGCGGUGGCGUCCUCAUCUGCGUUGCUAAUGAUUUUUUCGGCACACGCGUGGUUGAGCCGGCCAUGGGAGACGUGCUCGUGACCUGCCCGGGGCUCAACAUGCUGCCUGAACCGCUGGGCAUGGGUAGGGACAUUCGGAGGAUACCCAAGGUCGCCUUCGGCAUGGGACGCGCUGUCCCGUCCGGUGAGUACAAGUUAGUCCAUCUCACAGACAUAGACGACGUGAGAUGCGAGGUCCUCACCGUAAAAGGCGACAUCGGGUGGAAGCGUGCGCCGUCGCCCCCGGCCCAUGUCACGUGCUCCUCGACCUGUGUCGCUGUUGUGAAUGGCAUCCUGCACGUCUUCGGGUCACGCGAGGGAGACAGCUGGGAUGUACAUUGCUUUGACCUCGAGAGCGAGAGGUGGAAGACGACGAUCCAAGGCCCACGGAUAGAAGGUGGCUACAACUUGUCGACGGAUAUCCGUAUGGUUGAGCACAAGGGUACCCUUUGUGUGGUUCAGUCGUCGUCGAAGACUCAGCUCACCGACGUAUGGCUUCUGACCGAUCCAAAUAAGGGCAUUUGGGACAAGGCGUAUGCAAUCCCUAUGGAUCCACACACCCAACACUACACCCCUCUAGGGAUGACACAUGACGGUGAAAGGCUGCUCUUUCAGUGCUCUUUUAAUCAUAAACCAGCACAAGCCGUGCGAAUCUACGAUCCUUGCACCAACGCAUGGACGGAUGUCACGGAGACAUCAAGUAAUUUUGCUUGCAAAAUUGGUCUUCGCAAUCUUCGUUUAGGUAGUUUUAUCUCGGCCAAGACCUAG
This 1494-nucleotide ribosomal RNA is filed under the name Triticum aestivum (bread wheat). RNAcentral's name for it is "partial small subunit ribosomal RNA". Lineage: Eukaryota; Viridiplantae; Streptophyta; Magnoliopsida; Poales; Poaceae. The record is from RNAcentral.